CCCCUCAGCGCGGGGCCGGGAGGUCGGCGCGGAUGGGGGGGCUUUGCGGCGCUACUUCCAGAGCAGAGGGGCUGCUGGCGGCCCCGGGUGAGGAGAACGGCGCUGCUCAGGUGCCGGGGGAGGGAAACGCCGCCCUCGGGCCUCUGCCGAGCCCCUCUGGGGGGCCUGGGGUCGGUCCCGGGGGUGCCGAGCAAGGUGGGCUGCGGCGGGAGGCUCCGGCUGUGCCCCGUCCUCCGAGUGCCAUUGAACUUACAGCAAAUCUUAAGUACCAUAAGGUACAACUAGUGGAGGAGGGUUUCAAUCCAACAGUCAUUAAAGAUCGCCUGCAUUUCCUGGACGAUAAAGAGAAUCUGUACGUACAAAUGACCCAGGACAUUUAUAACUCAGUAAAAAAAAACGUAACUUCAAAUUGUGAGCAUGUCCAAAAAUACAUGUUUUAUAAUAAUCAAGUUUUGAAGGAUCUGUUAUUCUAACCGUGUUGGGAAAUUCCAUUUAUGAAUAUUAGCCAAUAUUGGUAUUUGAAAUAAAUGUGAAUAUGAGAUUGACUUAAUAAAGCAGAACUUUUCCAA
Cygnus olor (mute swan) is the source of this 569-nucleotide long non-coding RNA. RefSeq lists it as uncharacterized. The transcript has 2 exons. The record is from RefSeq and is a predicted model, not a curated record. Lineage: Eukaryota; Metazoa; Chordata; Aves; Anseriformes; Anatidae.